This is a non-coding RNA of Fukomys damarensis (Damara mole-rat), 73 nucleotides long. The record is from Rfam. Lineage: Eukaryota; Metazoa; Chordata; Mammalia; Rodentia; Bathyergidae.
GGGGAUUUAGCUCAAUGGUUCUGUCACCUGCCUUGCAAGCAGAAGGACCUGAGUUCGAUUCCCAGUACCCCCC